This 592-nucleotide ribosomal RNA is filed under the name uncultured bacterium. RNAcentral describes it as "bacterial SSU rRNA". It matches the Rfam family "Bacterial small subunit ribosomal RNA", at positions 8 to 648 of the family's 1533-position model. The record is from RNAcentral.
AGAGUUUGAUCCUGGCUCAGAGCGAACGCUGGCGGCAGGCCUAACACAUGCAAGUCGAGCGCCCCGCAAGGGGAGCGGCAGACGGGAGAGUAACACGUGGGAACGUGCCCUUCAGUUCGGAACAACCCAGGGAAACUUGGGCUAAUACCGGAUACGUCCGUAAGGAGAAAGAUUUAUCGCUGAAGGAGCGGCCCGCGUCUGAUUAGCUAGUUGGUGAGGUAACGGCUCACCAAGGCGACGAUCAGUAGCUGGUCUGAGAGGAUGAUCAGCCUCACUGGGACUGAGACACGGCCCAGACUCCUACGGGAGGCAGCAGUGGGGAAUAUUGGACAAUGGGCGCAAGCCUGAUCCAGCCAUGCCGCGUGGGUGAUGAAGGCCCUAGGGUUGUAAAGCCCUUUCGGCGGGGAAGAUAAUGACGGUACCCGCAGAAGAAGCCCCGGCUAACUUCGUGCCAGCAGCCGCGGUAAUACGAAGGGGGCUAGCGUUGCUCGGAAUCACUGGGCGUAAAGCGCACGUAGGCGGCUUGUUAAGUCAGGGGUGAAAUCCUGGAGCUCAACUCCAGAACUGCCUUUGAUACUGGCGAGCUUGAGUC